RNAcentral lists this ribosomal RNA (1343 nucleotides) under uncultured bacterium. RNAcentral's name for it is "16S ribosomal RNA". It matches the Rfam family "Bacterial small subunit ribosomal RNA", at positions 28 to 1378 of the family's 1533-position model. The record is from RNAcentral.
GACGAACGCUGGCGGCGUGCUUAACACAUGCAAGUCGAACGGAAAGGCCCUGCUUUUGUGGGGUGCUCGAGUGGCGAACGGGUGAGUAACACGUGAGUAACCUGCCCUUGACUUUGGGAUAACUUCAGGAAACUGGGGCUAAUACCGGAUAGGAGCUCCUGCUGCAUGGUGGGGGUUGGAAAGUUUCGGCGGUUGGGGAUGGACUCGCGGCUUAUCAGCUUGUUGGUGGGGUAGUGGCUUACCAAGGCUUUGACGGGUAGCCGGCCUGAGAGGGUGACCGGCCACAUUGGGACUGAGAUACGGCCCAGACUCCUACGGGAGGCAGCAGUGGGGAAUAUUGCACAAUGGGCGGAAGCCUGAUGCAGCAACGCCGCGUGCGGGAUGACGGCCUUCGGGUUGUAAACCGCUUUCGCCUGUGACGAAGCGUGAGUGACGGUAAUGGGUAAAGAAGCACCGGCUAACUACGUGCCAGCAGCCGCGGUGAUACGUAGGGUGCGAGCGUUGUCCGGAUUUAUUGGGCGUAAAGAGCUCGUAGGUGGUUGAUCGCGUCGGAAGUGUAAUCUUGGGGCUUAACCCUGAGCGUGCUUUCGAUACGGGUUGACUUGAGGAAGGUAGGGGAGAAUGGAAUUCCUGGUGGAGCGGUGGAAUGCGCAGAUAUCAGGAGGGACACCAGUGGCGAAGGCGGUUCUCUGGGCCUUUCCUGACGCUGAGGAGCGAAAGCGUGGGGAGCGAACAGGCUUAGAUACCCUGGUAGUCCACGCUGUAAACGGUGGGUACUAGGUGUGGGGUCCAUUCCACGGGUUCCGUGCCGUAGCUAACGCUUUAAGUACCCCGCCUGGGGAGUACGGCCGCAAGGCUAAAACUCAAAGGAAUUGACGGGGCCCCGCACAAGCGGCGGAGCAUGCGGAUUAAUUCGAUGCAACGCGUAGAACCUUACCUGGGUUUGACAUGGAUCGGGAGCGCUCAGAGAUGGGUGUGCCUCUUUUGGGGUCGGUUCACAGGUGGUGCAUGGCUGUCGUCAGCUCGUGUCGUGAGAUGUUGGGUUAAGUCCCGCAACGAGCGCAACCCUUGUUCACUGUUGCCAGCACGUUAUGGUGGGGACUCAGUGGAGACCGCCGGGGUCAACCCGGAGGAAGGUGGGGAUGACGUCAAGUCAUCAUGCCCCUUAUGUCCAGGGCUUCACGCAUGCUACAAUGGCUGGUACAGAGAGUGGCGAGCCUGUGAGGGUGAGCGAAUCUCGGAAAGCCGGUCUCAGUUCGGAUUGGGGUCUGCAACUCGACCUCAUGAAGUCGGAGUCGCUAGUAAUCGCAGAUCAGCAACGCUGCGGUGAAUACGUUCCCGGG